The sequence is a transfer RNA, 95 nucleotides long. It matches the Rfam family "tRNA". Rfam says of the family: Transfer RNA (tRNA) molecules are approximately 80 nucleotides in length. The record is from Rfam.
GCCGGGCUAGCUCAAUCGGUAGAGCGUGCGGCUCUUAGAUUUCACACCUCUUGCUUGUGACCGCAAGGCUGCGGGUUCGACCCCCGCGUUCGGCU